This 499-nucleotide long non-coding RNA is filed under the name Cairina moschata (Muscovy duck). Its description in RNAcentral is "domestica (muscovy Duck (domestic type)) lncRNA (ENSCMMG00000002549.1)". The record is from RNAcentral. Lineage: Eukaryota; Metazoa; Chordata; Aves; Anseriformes; Anatidae.
AAGUAUCUGUCAUCUGCCUGCUGAUAUGGCCUUCAGAAGAAAGCCUGUUCUGCAGCCCUCAUCACUAGUGAUACACAAACAUCUGUGACAGUACCCAUGUCUCCUGGAUUUUGUCUUCCAGGAAAUUUGUCUCAUGAGGAUUAGAAGUGCUGCCAUCUGCAAUACAGACAUUUCUAUCAGCGGAUAUGACCAGGAAAACCUACUGUUUCUUUCAUGUACCUGUGAGUUUCAUGACAGGGCUGGAUCUUCAGGGGGGACACCUGAUCAGGGAUCCCAUAAAGCUCUAGCAAGGACCACAGCUGUGAGGGAGGACAUGCUGCACCACCGCGUACAUCGUGCCCUGCAAGGGAACCCGCGUGCCAGCCAGGAACCUACUGAAGACUACUUUGAAGUUAAGUCCUGGUUUUUUUUUGUCCUUAUUUCAUGUCUCAGGAUGAUCUCAGUCUUAAGGUGUUUUUUUUUUUGUUUUGUUUUGUUUUUUUUAAGGUUGCUUAAAUGA